Molecule: long non-coding RNA, 805 nt
Filed under: Struthio camelus australis
Lineage: Eukaryota; Metazoa; Chordata; Aves; Struthioniformes; Struthionidae
Description: lncRNA (ENSSCUG00000013022.1)
Source: RNAcentral
AGCGGCUUAAGAGACCUGGAGUGGGAGCAUGAAGGAUGGAAGUGACACCAGGUCUCAGAAGAAUGAAAUUCCACCUGAGAUAUCCAGAUACAAUUCAAGAACAAACCCUUCAAAGUCAUAGAUCGAAGGAAACGGCAUCAUUAGGAGAGAAGCAGCAGUGCUGGAAUUAUGCAACACCCGGUCAGGAGCAACGAGACGAAGAGCAGUACUCCUGUCGGUAGCUCAAACUAGAAAAGUAGAGGAUUGUCCUUUUUUGUGGCUGGCAAAAAUUUCAGCCCUGAAGAAGCCACACGUUCUGGCUGCCCCCAGACUGGAUCCUGCUUGUGGGUGUAGUUCAGCUCUAGUAUUUGCUACUAGAGAUGCUGCACAAACUAACACCAGGAACCGGCAUUCAGCAGGUGUGCGAUAUUUUGUCUUCCUGUUGGAGGUUACAACUAACCCUGUGCUAGUUCAGCCAUAACGUUUGACUUUUCUAUUCUUUCUGAUAUUCUACCUCUAAUGUAACAGCGCGAGUGGUGGCAUCACUAUAGAUCAGGUCUGGACCAGUCAUUUGCCCGCUCUCCCAAGGAGAGUCCCCUCCAGUGCUGGCAUCCUGACAGAGCAACACCUCGCUCUGCUGGCACCUUCCAACGGGACGAGGGACAGGGGAUGCAGAGAGCUGGGCAGUGUGUAUAGAGCCUUGGUUCUCCAGGUAUUUAUGGCUAUGUAGGGCCAGUGAUGACAAGCCAUUAUGUUAUUAGGUGCCUCACAAUUAAUGAAUGGUGCUCUCAGUCUGCUUGCGUCUGUGGCAUGAAGGAAAAACAUC